RNAcentral lists this ribosomal RNA (852 nucleotides) under uncultured bacterium. RNAcentral describes it as "bacterial SSU rRNA". It matches the Rfam family "Bacterial small subunit ribosomal RNA", at positions 28 to 898 of the family's 1533-position model. The record is from RNAcentral.
AAUGAACGUUGGCGGCGUGGAUUAGGCAUACAAGUCGUACGCCCCGCAAGGGGCGUGGCGCAAGGGUGAGUAAGGCGACGGCAACCAACCCCGCGGCCGGGCAUAGCCAUCCGAAAGGAUGGGUAAUUCCCGGCGUCCCGAGGAGCCGGCAUCGGCAUCACGGGAAAGGUGAGACUCCGCCGUGGGACGGACCGUCGUGGUAUCAGCUUGUUGGCGGGGUAAUGGCCCACCAAGGCUAUGACGCCUACCGGGCGUGCGAGCGUGGCCCGGCACACUGGGACUGAGACACUGCCCAGACUCCUACGGGAGGCUGCAGUCGAGAAUCUUCGGCAAUGGGCGCAAGCCUGACCGAGCGACGCCGCGUGGAGGACGAAGGCCUUCGGGUUGUAAACUCCUGUCGAGGGGGAGGAAGGGGCAACCUUGACCGAUCCCUGGAGGAAGCACGGGCUAAGUUCGUGCCAGCAGCCGCGGUAAGACGAACCGUGCGAACGUUAUUCGGAAUCACUGGGCUUAAAGCGCGUGUAGGCGGAUCGCCGCGUCGGCUGCUGAAAUCCCCCCGGCUCAACCGGGGAACGGGCACCGAUACGGGCGGUCUCGAGGGGGGUAGGGGGGGUCUGGAACUUCCGGUGGAGCGGUGAAAUGCGUUGAGAUCGGAAGGAACGCCCGUGGCGAAAGCGACGUGCUGGACCUCUUCUGACGCUGAGGCGCGAAAGCUAGGGGAGCAAACGGGAUUAGAUACCCCGGUAGUCCUAGCCCUAAACGAUGGGUACUAGAUUGUGGACUUAACAUGGGUUCACAGUCGAAGCUAAAGUGUUAAGUACCCCGCCUGGGGAGUAUGGUCGCAAGGCUGAA